RNAcentral lists this ribosomal RNA (254 nucleotides) under uncultured bacterium. Its description in RNAcentral is "partial 16S ribosomal RNA". It matches the Rfam family "Bacterial small subunit ribosomal RNA", at positions 524 to 776 of the family's 1533-position model. The record is from RNAcentral.
UACGGGGGGAGCAAGCGUUGUUCGGAUUUACUGGGCGUAAAGGGCGCGUAGGCGGUCAGCACAAGUCAGUUGUGAAAUCUCCGGGCUUAACUCGGAAAGGUCAACUGAUACUGUGCGACUAGAGUGCGGAAGGGGCAACUGGAAUUCUCGGUGUAGCGGUGAAAUGCGUAGAUAUCGGGAGGAACACCAAUGGCGAAGGCAGCUCGCUGGGACGGUACUGACGCUGAGACGCGAAAGCGUGGGGAGCAAACAGG